Molecule: long non-coding RNA, 1600 nt
Filed under: Homo sapiens (human)
Lineage: Eukaryota; Metazoa; Chordata; Mammalia; Primates; Hominidae
Description: HSALNT0139283
Source: RNAcentral
AGAAAGAAAAAGAAAAUAAGAGAGGAAAAGGUCCUGAGAAAUGACGGACGCUUGAACCUCGGGCCCGGGAAGACCAGCGCCCUUUGGCGGCUAGGCCUCGGGGGCGUGCGGAGGGCGGGCCCCCGCGCGGCCGCCGCUUUCCCAGGCCGCCAGGGGUGAGGAGGUGACGCUGCGGGCUUGGUGGCGGCUGGUUUUUCACACAGGAAUCCUCCUCGCCACCGCUCCCUCGAAGGCCGCCCCCCGCUCCACCCCCAGCACUGGGCGCCCGCGCCUCCCAACUCAGCCCGCCGCCGAGCAGACGGCGCGCCGCGGUAAUUGGGCACAGGGGCCUUUUUCAGAGUCGCUCAGUCGAUAAAUGAAACGUCAGCUCCCCUGUGAUCCCGCGUGUGUGGGGCGGCGGUGGCUGCGAGCCGGGGCGCAGGGCCGGCCGGCAGCCGCUGCUCUUUCACAGCCCCAGACCCUGCGCGGCCUGCCGGCGGCUGGCGACCUCCCUUCCCCUCCCGAGGCGCCCGAGCCUCUGAUCCCCUCCCGGGGCGCCUGUGGCCUCCCUUCCCCUCCCGGGGCGCCCGAGCCUCUGAUCCCCUCCCGGGGCGCCUGUGGCCUCCCUUCCCCUCCUGGGGCGCCUGUGACCUCCCGUCCCCUCCCGCGGCUCCCGCGGCCUCCGACCUCCUGCCGGGGCGCCUCAAGGGCCCCUGCCCCACAUCAGAGGGUCUUGCGGUUUCCUGGUUUGGUUCAACAUCUCUGAAACCCAGAGGUGAAGAAGAAACCAUGGAGGAGAAUCCGAAACAGUCUUCCAGAUCAGACCUCUAAAAUAACUAAAUUCUUGUUAAUCAUUAGAUUCUCCCUUUUAUUUAAUGUGUAAGUCCAAGGGGAUUCCUUCUGCUUCCCCAUUCAAUUAGACAGCAACCUCUUCCUCUAAAGUUCUCUCAUCUGAAGCCAUCUGAGCAGGAGCACUUUGACCAACUCAAUUCUGCUCUGAUCUGGACUACUUCUCCCAGUUUAGGGAUCAGUAAAUUGCCAAACACUUCCCAAUUUAUCCCUGAAGGAAUCCCUGAAAAAUGAUGGCCUUUAUUCUCCCUCAGAGAGGGAGCUUGAGCUCUUGAGAAAGACAUGAAGGCCCUUGCCGCUGUCGGCAUCACUCCUUCCUCCCUAAUCCGGUCAGUUAAUUGCUGAGUGCUCGCUUCCUGAUCUGCGUGAUGGCCUCGGAACCGGGCUGCGUGUAGACCUGGGUGACUAUCAGCUCAGCUCCCAAGUGGAGGGCCUCGGAAGACGCUCUGUGCGGCCUACUAACAAGCACGAGAACCUCAGAAUGUGACUGUAUUUGGAGAUUGUGCCCUUUAAAGAGGUGAUUGAAUUAAAACGAGCCCUUUAGUUGGGUCAUAAUACAAUGUGACUAGAGUUCUUACAAGAAGAGGAAAUUUGGUCUCACAAAAGACACCAGAGGUACACGCAGAGAAAAGGCCAUGAGAAGACACAGCGGGAAGAUAGCCAUCUGCAAGCCAAGGAGAGAGGCCUCCAGAGACACCAAAACCUGCCGACACCUUCAUCUUGGACUUCAUGCCCCCAAAACUGUGAGAAAAUAAAUUUCUGUUGUUUAAGC